GGCAUAGGAAAACAAUAUCUCCUGAUAGGAGAACACUUGUCCGGCUUUUUGACAAGAUUGACCAGGGUACGAUGAAAGAAGGGAAAAAUCUGUCCAAUCGCAUUAUUGAAACCCACAGGAGGCGGCAAGGAUCUCCAAGAAAGAGGAAAGGGCCAAUUUCAGGUACAAAGGGGACGGAUAGGUUUCGUUCAGAGGAGGCAUUCUAUGUAAAUCCUCUACCAGACUGUUUAUGUCGAAAGGAAUCGUCAUACAUGAAUAAUUCUCAAAGUAUCAGGUAGUUAAGAUGAUAACACAAGAUCCAUGUAUUGCAUUAGUGCUGCUGUUUCAGUCUUAUUUUAUUGACGCUGGAGCAGGCAACGAGCUGAUUAGCAUGCGAAAUGUACAUAUACAAUGAGAAGAGAUUGUUCCAAGUGACUUUAUAGAUGUAGAUGGUUGAAAAAAUAGGUGUCUCCAGAGAGAGGAGUUUGAUUGAGAUGAGACUUUCCAUGAGGGGAAGGUUGAUCAAGUCAAAAUUAAGAGUAUAAAAUGUCACACUUGUACAGAUGGAGG
This 549-nucleotide unclassified non-coding RNA is filed under the name Hevea brasiliensis (rubber tree). The record is from RNAcentral. Lineage: Eukaryota; Viridiplantae; Streptophyta; Magnoliopsida; Malpighiales; Euphorbiaceae.